This is an RNA transcript of Nicotiana tabacum (common tobacco), 2572 nucleotides long. RefSeq lists it as uncharacterized. Lineage: Eukaryota; Viridiplantae; Streptophyta; Magnoliopsida; Solanales; Solanaceae. The record is from RefSeq and is a predicted model, not a curated record.
GUAAAACUUCCCAUGAUCUUCAGUAUUCACACUCUUCUUCUCCCUUCUUCCACUCUCAAGAUCCAACAUGAAAACUUUCUGUGUUAUAAAAUCCACAAAAACCUCAAAAAAGUGAUGAUAUAAUUCAUCAAAAUUACAAUCAUAUGGCACAACCCAAGAAAACCCUAAAAAAUUUUAUCCCACUUUUCAUACUGCUCACUCUUUCUGCUCUUUUCCUCUUCUCUUUUCACCCAUCAAACUUAAAUUCCACCAAAUCUUUCUCUUUUAAUCCUUACAACAACCCCCAAACUCACCAAAACUUCACUUUCAUCAUCAAAGUUCUCACCUUUAAUCGCUUUGAGUCCCUUUCAAGAUGCCUAAAUUCACUUUCCAAAGCAAAAUAUGAUAACCAUGUUGUUCAUUUACAUAUAUACAUUGAUCAUUUUCAAGAUUCCUCAAAAGGGUAUGUGGUAAUUGACGAAAGAUUGAAUCUUUCUAAAAGAAUUCUUGAUUUUGUUGAUGGGUUUAAUUGGGAAUUUGGUGAAAAGUUGGUGCAUUAUAGGACUUCAAAUGCUGGACUUCAAGCUCAGUGGUUGGAAGCUUGGUGGCCUAGUUCAGAUGAUGAAUUUGCAUUUGUUGUAGAGGAUGAUCUUGAGUUGUCACCUCUUUAUUUUAGGUUCUUGAAAAGUUUGAUUGAGAAUUAUUAUUAUAAUGAGUCCAAUUUUAGUCCUAUGAUUUAUGGAGCUUCAUUGCAGCGGCCAAGGUUUGUUGCAGGUAAACAUGGAAACAAGAUGCAGAUUGAUGAUGGAACUCAACUUUUCUUGUACCAGUUGGUCGGCACUUGGGGUCAACUUCUGUUUCCAAGACCUUGGAAAGAAUUCCGCAUAUGGUAUGACAUACACAAGGCCAAAGGAUUGAAGCCAGUUCUAGACGGGAUGGUGACAACAGGAUGGUACAAAAAGAUGGGAGAAAGAAUCUGGACACCUUGGUUCAUUAAAUUUAUCCAUGCACGUGGUUACUUUAAUAUUUAUACCAACCUUUUGCAUGAGCGAGCUUUUAGUGUGUCGCAUCGCGAUGCUGGUGUUAACUAUGGGAAGUCAGUUGGGCCAGAUUCUUCUUUAGUGGAUGAAAAGUCUUUUGAUCUUAAUCUUUUGAAGCUGCAAUCUUUGCGCAGCCUGAAGUGGUAUGAUUUCUGUUUCAAGGAAGUUUUCCCUGGUAGAGUCGUGCACAGUUCUGAUGAUUUGGUGCCUGUUCUUCAGUCAGUUCAGAAAUUGAAGACUAUAAUAUAUGUGAACCUACAACAGGUGUCAGAGUCAAUUAUUAGGAAUCUUCUCUGCCACUUUGAUAGAUUGAAUAUCCAAAACUAUGUAAUAUUGGGUCCACAGACGGAUUUGCUUCUGGAUCUUGCGAGAAGGGGCUAUCCGGUGAUUGACACAGACCAAUUUUUUGACAGUAUUAGGUUACAAAACUCAAUCAACUUUGAUAAAUCGCAUGAAAAAUUGGGUAAAGAUAUUGUUGUGAAGGCCCAUGUAAUAAGAAAGUCAUUGGAACUUAAAUACAGCACAUGGGUUGUGGAUAGUGACGUGAUUCCUCUCAGCAGUGAUUCAUUUCUUGAUUCCUAUGAUCCGGCGGGAAAUGACUUUUUCUUGGGGAAGAACUUUAAACUAGUCUUCAUUAGAAAUUCAUCAUCUGCUUUAAAGAUUUGGGUUGACAAUGUUCUGGACAAAAUUGUUGCCUCGAUUGCCAAUUUGAAGACAAGAGGUUCAAUUGCCACCGAGAGAAAUUUUGUAAAUUUAGUCGAGAAGUUAUUGGAACAAAAGAGAACUACAUUUAACAGGGUUGAUGAAACUGAUUUUAGUUUGAACAUCAGUUAUAUGGAUUCUAACCAAACCUCUUCAAGGAAUGGAAAGAAGUUUGCCUUUUGGUCACCUGAGAUAGGUUCAGAGACGAUACAAAAACGACUUGAACAGUUUGCUAUGUGGGUUGUGGAUAGCGAAUUAUCUUGUAAUGCAGUUGUUUGUCAUCCAUCAUAGCGCGUUCUUCAGUGUAUCUACUGUUAAAGCUUACGAUUUCUGCCUAUUGUUUGAUGGAUCGUACAUGUUGGUAUUGAAGACAAAAAGAGUGGAGGAGAACAGAAAGGGCAAACUGAACUGCUACGUGUUUGAAGAAUUCGUUCAACUGAAGGCAUUCGUUCGGAGUCAACAUGAUGCAGUAAUGACAUUGUGAUUGAUUCUUAGGCCAUAUUUGGCUGCUCAUUUUUGCUGAUGAUCAUCUUCGCUAAAUCUGGAGAUCGAUCGAGUAUUUGCCGCUAGCUCUAGAAACCUUGUUGCUACAAUUUGCUAAGGUGGCACCCAGAGCAUUUCAAGUCUUUCAUUUUGCUUUUCCGUGAGGGAUGUCACCUAAUUGGGAAGAUCAUGAGCUAGAGGAGGAAAAGUACUCGCGCCUGGUGCGCACCCAGCCAACAAGUGCAUGGCAUGUGUCUUUUGCAUAUGAUGUACAUUGCUUAAUUUUACUUGACCAUGGUAAAUUAGCAUAGUUUGGUGGAUGCUCCUAACAAAUGAAAUUGUAUUACAUUCUAUGAUCUUUAAUCCAA